CCCCUCCUUCACUCACGCCCCUCCCUCCUGACUGACCCCUUCCCCCUGACUGACCCCUUCCCCUUCUUCCUCACGUUCUUCCUCUCUUCCUCCCCUCCCAUGGCUGCCUACCUUUGAAUCCAAGCUCUGCAGCACUAAAUCCUUGGGGAAGACUAGCAAAACAGAUCGGGGACAUCAAGGGGAGGACGGGGAGGUGUAUCUUUGAGGUGGAUUGGCCCUUCUCCCUCUCUUCCCGUUGCCCUAGGGUUUGGGGAAAACCAAGGUUGUAGUGCCCACAAUCGCGUCUAAAGCGGUCAUCCCUUCAUUGGAGGCAAGUGAACGUAGCUGUUGCAUUGCUACAACUUUAACAUUCUAUUUUUACUGCCUCCACUUAUAAAAUACAAUACACAUGCUUAUAAGUGAUAAUAUAACAAAUUUAGACAUGGCUCAAAAUUAUUGGGCGAAGUAUGAAACAUUGGUUCUAAUAUAAGUUUAGAGCUAAUGUGUCUUUUUGUUUCAACAUGGGUGGAUAGAUAAAUGAAUUGGACUAUAUGUGGUGAACUUUGAAUUUAUAGCUAGGGAUGAAAGUGUUUUUACAUGUCAUAUAUUUAGUAAUUUAUACUAUGACAUGUUUUCUUGUGAGUAAAAUCUAUGGAAUCCUUGGUGGUUUACUAAUGAGUGGGCCUAUUAUAGUAGAGGUUAUGUUAAUCUUGGUGUAUGAAAAUCUCUGUGGUGUUUACACUACCUAUAUCUCCUAGUGCUAUCAUGUGUGGGUAAAUUGGAGUUGGGAUUACGAAUAAGGUUCAAAGUAAUUUUCUACUAUUCUUUGGUAUAUGAGUUCAAAUAUAAGAAUUGAACUUUGGGUUGACUAGCUCUGCUUAGAAACUUUUUUUCUUUCUUUGAUAUGAUAGAUGUGCUUUGGGCUUGGAUUAUGAAAUUAGUGUUCUACUCUAUGUUUCAAUUACUCAUGGCAACAUGCUAUCCUUUUUCCUUAAGAUCACGAUGAUCUAUAGAUAUGAUGGCUUGAUUAACUAUUUGGUUGAUGUUUGGCAUAUGUGAGACUACAUUAUUUAAUCAUGAUUGAUGUUAUUUGUGUUACAGAAGCACCGCUUGUAUCUCUCUAUAUUAAUUAUCAUGGAUUGUUCUCUUUUUC
This is a long non-coding RNA of Panicum virgatum (switchgrass), 1132 nucleotides long. RefSeq lists it as uncharacterized. The record is from RefSeq and is a predicted model, not a curated record. The transcript has 2 exons. NCBI's taxonomy places the organism in Eukaryota, Viridiplantae, Streptophyta, Magnoliopsida, Poales, Poaceae.